AUCAAAGUUGAAAACGCUUAGGCAAGUCCACAGUGCAGCAACGCCGUUAACAGACAAGUCAUUACCGUUACAAUUAGGUAAAUAUGACGAACCGAUACACAGAAGGUGAGCAAAGUUUGAUUUUGAAGUUGAUUCAGUACUUCCAAGGGGAAAAAGAAGCAGGCAAAACUUUAACACCCGUAAGCGCAGUAUAUGAUAGGGUUUGUGCUGCCCUGGGUGUAUCGUUGUGGACUGUAAAAAGAAUUAGUACAAGAGGUGUUAAAAAAGAUGACGAUUAGGUACAAAUCGCAAAAAAGUGUGGCUAUUAGUUUAUCUCACGGACCUCCGCUGCAUGAAAUACAUGAACAUGUAAUAAGGACACGGAUUUAUGCAAUGUAUGCGACAGGUAAAUAACAUUCUUUUUGUUCUAAGGGAAGA
Molecule: long non-coding RNA, 417 nt
Organism: Photinus pyralis (common eastern firefly)
Lineage: Eukaryota; Metazoa; Arthropoda; Insecta; Coleoptera; Lampyridae
Exons: 3
Source: RefSeq, a predicted model, not a curated record